This 253-nucleotide ribosomal RNA is filed under the name uncultured bacterium. RNAcentral's name for it is "partial 16S ribosomal RNA". It matches the Rfam family "Bacterial small subunit ribosomal RNA", at positions 524 to 776 of the family's 1533-position model. The record is from RNAcentral.
UACGAAGGGUGCAAGCGUUACUCGGAAUUACUGGGCGUAAAGGGUGCGUAGGUGGUUCUUUAAGUCUGCUGUGAAAGCCCCGGGCUCAACCUGGGAAUGGCAGUGGAUACUGGAGAGCUAGAGUGCGGUAGAGGGUAGUGGAAUUCCCGGUGUAGCGGUGAAAUGCGUAGAGAUCGGGAGGAACACCAGUGGCGAAGGCGGCUACCUGGACCAGCACUGACACUGAGGCACGAAAGCGUGGGGAGCAAACAGG